RNAcentral lists this transfer RNA (76 nucleotides) under Ehrlichia ruminantium str. Welgevonden. RNAcentral's name for it is "tRNA-Glu". It matches the Rfam family "tRNA". From Rfam's summary of the family: Transfer RNA (tRNA) molecules are approximately 80 nucleotides in length. Their secondary structure includes four short double-helical elements and three loops (D, anti-codon, and T loops). Further hydrogen bonds mediate the characteristic L-shaped molecular structure. tRNAs have two regions of fundamental functional importance: the anti-codon, which is responsible for specific mRNA codon recognition, and the 3' end, to which the tRNAs corresponding amino acid is attached (by aminoacyl-tRNA synthetases). tRNAs cope with the degeneracy of the genetic code in two manners: having more than one tRNA (with a specific anti-codon) for a particular amino acid; and 'wobble' base-pairing, i.e. permitting non-standard base-pairing at the 3rd anti-codon position. The record is from RNAcentral. RNAcentral also lists the same sequence under 1 other name. Lineage: Bacteria; Pseudomonadati; Pseudomonadota; Alphaproteobacteria; Rickettsiales; Anaplasmataceae.
GACUCCUUCGUCUAGUGGUCCAGGACACCACCCUUUCACGGUGGUAACGCGGGUUCGACUCCCGUGGGAGUCACUU